UGGGGAAUUUUGCGCAAUGGGCGAAAGCCUGACGCAGCAACGCCGCGUGGAGGAUGAAGGCCUUCGGGUCGUAAACUCCUGUCGAUGGGGACGAAAGCCUAACAAUAGGUUUGACUGUACCCGUUGAGGAAGCCACGGCUAACUCCGUG
RNAcentral lists this ribosomal RNA (149 nucleotides) under uncultured bacterium. RNAcentral describes it as "partial 16S rRNA". It matches the Rfam family "Bacterial small subunit ribosomal RNA", at positions 355 to 507 of the family's 1533-position model. The record is from RNAcentral.